UCCGGUUUGACACCGGCAGUCUCCCUAGAGUGCCCGGCAUAACCCGCUGGUAACUAGGGACGAGGGUUGCGCUCGUUGCGGGACUUGACCCAACAUCUCACGACACGAGCUGACGACAGCCAUGCAGCACCUGUGUUACGGCUCCCUUUCGGGCACCCCUGCAUUUCUGCAGGGUUCCGCACAUGUCAAGGGUAGGUAAGGUUUUUCGCGUUGCAUCGAAUUAAACCACAUCAUCCACCGCUUGUGCGGGCCCCCGUCAAUUUCUUUGAGUUUUAAUCUUGCGACCGUACUCCCCAGGCGGGAUACUUAACGCGUUAGCUUCGUCACUGAAGGGGUCAAUACCUCCAACAACAAGUAUCCAUCGUUUAUGGUGCGGACUAC
Molecule: unclassified non-coding RNA, 381 nt
Filed under: uncultured Pseudomonadota bacterium
Lineage: Bacteria; Pseudomonadati; Pseudomonadota
Description: uncultured proteobacterium contains 16S-23S intergenic spacer region
Source: RNAcentral